CAGCUCAGUUUCAUUUCAUCUGGAUCAAUUUGGGUCCUCAAGUGGGCUCUCCAAUAACUGUUACAGAUCUUAUGGUCACAGGUUUUUAAGGACCAAAUUGCAAUGGUGCCAUCGUGCUCUGAAACACAACAAUUUCUUUAUUCUCAAGAUCUGAUCUUAUGGUCUCACUGGAUAAGUGGGAUGAGUUGGAGCAAUGAGCGCAAACAUUAAGCUGGACUUUUCAAUACAAUAGGAAACCACCAACUUGCACUGGUCUGUAGGACACUGUUUCCAGCAUGGUGUCCAACCUCUUUGCCAGAUGCCAUUCAAACAGAGAUGGUGUAAGGGACAUCAAGAUGGAAAAUCAUGCCUCAUGUAAAAGAAAAUCUAGGCCAGAAUGCCACCAUCAGAUUUCAUAGUUGUCCAAAACCAGACUGGUAUACCAAGUGGUCGAAUCUUUUAAACCGCAAAGGGUUCAAAUUCUUCAAGUCAACGGUUGUUUGCAGCAAUCAUUUUGAGUUUGGACAGCCUCGACUUAAUUCUCGCCACCCUUCUAAAUAUCUUAAGGGGUAUUCAAGUGGUCACAAAACAAGGAAGAGUCCCACCGAAAGACAGGAACAAUCCAAAAUUGCCUCUCAAGUGAGUCAAGCAGAAGAAAUUGUCCCUAAAGUGCAGAAUGUAGAAGAUGAAGAAUCUAAUUCAUUAACUCAAAAGGAACAGUACGAAUUAGAAUUACUCAAACUUAAAGAAGAAUUGAAAACAGUCAAGGACAGCUACAUGCAUAUUAUUAAAGAAAAAGACCAGCAAAUCGAAGAACUAAAGUCAAGAAUCAUUUUUGGUAUUGAUCCUAUUAAAGGUCGUGAUGAUCAGGCGAAAAUUUUCACUGGCCUACCAUCCUACUCACUUUUUAAAUGGGCGUUUGACGAGGUAAAAGAAGCAGCAAAUACAAUGAACUACUAUAGUUUAUGAUAAAAAUAAACCUGGUCCAAAGAGAAAAGUGACGUUGGAGAAUCAGCUUUUGAUAACACUAAUGAAACUUCGACAUAACUUAAAAAACAUCGAUUUCAUUGUUGCCAUGUUGAAACAAGGUUUAUUUGAACUGUACAUUACCUUAACUACAAGUUACACAAGAAAUAAAUUAAAAUACAUACAGUUGCUGGUCGCCCAAAAUAACUAAGGAGCUAAACUAAAUUGAGAAUUUGUCAUUAUGCACUCACUAAAAACACAAGAAAGGCAGCAGUGAGUACGCACGCUUUUAAACUUACGUUAGUCAAUGUAAACAACAACUUCUACACUUGAAAUAUUGGGAAGAUUAUCAAGUUUCGAUUUCCAUCCCAAGAGUAAUUUCUCUGGAUCUGGAAGCUUAAUGAUGCCAUUUUCUAUCCUUAAGAGAUUUUCAGUUGUCGUGAACAACGCUCGUUCUAAGCUCUUCUGGUGUCGGCCGAGGAGGAAAAGCCAAAUUCUUUGCUGCUUGAGCUAUUAUUAUUCGCUCAUUUUUUCUUCUGUCGUGAAAGGGAAUACCUCGUCUUUGAAGAAAAGCACCCAGUUCAUCAUUUUUCACUUGAGAAAAGUUUUUAUCCAUGAUAAAAAACGCAGUUGUGAAACUUUUCCCUUUCCGCAUUCA
RNAcentral lists this unclassified non-coding RNA (1603 nucleotides) under Stylophora pistillata. RNAcentral describes it as "uncharacterized LOC111335817, transcript variant X2". The record is from RNAcentral. Lineage: Eukaryota; Metazoa; Cnidaria; Anthozoa; Scleractinia; Pocilloporidae.